Molecule: ribosomal RNA, 571 nt
Filed under: uncultured bacterium
Lineage: Bacteria
Description: bacterial SSU rRNA
Rfam family: Bacterial small subunit ribosomal RNA
Source: RNAcentral
AUGUGAACGAGGUGUGGGCAGUGUAGAAGCCGUCUGUGCCGGAGCAAACGCGAUAAGUUCACCGCCUGGGGAGUACGGUCGCAAGGCUAAAACCCAAAGGAAUUGACGGGGGCCCGCACAAGCAGCGGAGCGUGUGGUUUAAUUCGAUGCAACGCGAAGAACCUUACCUGGGCUUGACAUGUACGUAGUAGUGAAGGGAAACCGGAACGAGCCUUCGGGCAGCGUAGACAGGUGCUGCAUGGCUGUCGUCAGCUCGUGUCGUGAGAUGUUGGGUUAAGUCCCGCAACGAGCGCAACCCGUGUUGCUAGUUACAAGUGUCUAGCGAGACUGCCGGUAACAAGCCGGAGGAAGGUGCGGAUGAUGUCAAGUCAGCAUGGCCUAUAUGUCCAGGGCUACACACACGCUACAAUGGCUGGUACAAAGAGAAGCGAAAGGGAGACCUGAAGCGAAUCUCAUCAAAGCCAGUCAUAGUUCGGAUUGCAGGCUGCAACUCGCCUGCAUGAAGUCGGAGUUGCUAGUAACCGCAGGUCAGCAAUACUGCGGUGAAUACGUUCCCGGGCCUUGUACACAC